GAAAUGCGAUAAGUAGUGUGAAUUGCAGAAUUUAGCGAAUCAUCGAAUCUUUGAACGCACAUUGCGCCCCUUGGUAUUCCAUGGGGCAUGCCUGUUCGAGCGUCAUUUCAACCCUCAAGCACUGCUUGGUGUUGGGCGCUUGUCCCGCCUACGCGCGUGGACUCGCCUCAAAGUCAUUGGCAGCUGUUCCCCUUCGGCUCGUAAGCGCAGCACAGUCGGCGCCCGGAGCUCUGGUGGGAUGGCGUCCAGCAAGCUAUAUUUUCAGGCUUGACCUCGGAUCAGGUAGGGAUACCCGCUGAACUUAAGC
This 307-nucleotide unclassified non-coding RNA is filed under the name plant metagenome. RNAcentral describes it as "partial contains 5.8S ribosomal RNA, internal transcribed spacer 2, and large subunit ribosomal RNA". The stretch from base 1 to 105 matches the Rfam family "5.8S ribosomal RNA", at positions 50 to 154 of the family's 154-position model. The record is from RNAcentral.